AGUGAAGGAGUCGUUUACAAAUGUAACUGAAUCACUGAAGGAGUCAUUUACAUUUAUAACAGAAUCAGUGAAGGAGUCGUUUACAAAUGUAAAUGAAUCACUGAAGGGGUCAUUUACAAAUGUAGGACAGGAAGUGUGGAGAAAGUGGGGGAUUCCGGGAUGGACAGACUCUCAGUGUGACUCUCAGUGUGAAAGACAGAAUGGAGUGAUGGUGAAGAAUGCAUGUCUCGGUUUUAAACACUUAGUAAGGGUUCAAUGUUCUCACUGUCUCUCAUCCUUCUUCACACUCUGUAAUGCUCCAACUGCUCAACUGCGUGACUCUCUCUCUCUCUCUCUCUGUGAGAUGAUGUGAGAUGGUUAAAUCUUUAGUGGAAUAUUGAGGAUUUUAGAUCAAAUGUUGCAGGUGUUUUUAAAUCAGUUUGAACAUAAAACUUUAAGAAAGUCAGAAUAUUUCUGCUGUGUUACCGUCACCUGACGUUAUGUUGAUAAAAAUGUUGUCUUUAAAAUAAAUCUGAUUAACACGCAGUUGUUCCCGAGUUAAUCUUUUUGCACAGUGCAUGUUUGAGAUGAUUCCAGAUAGAGAUGAGACAGAUGACGACACAGAUAGAGUUCUCCUUAAAGCCGAUGAUGUCACUGAGACAGAAACGUUCGAACAUAUCUCCUUUUGAGUUCAAUUUUAGAUGAAAAAGGAUUAAAACUUAUGAACACUGAGGCUUUGAGACAGUCUGAGACGUUCCCCUGAGAACCACAUCUUCCGCUGUGCUUCUACUUCUGCUGUCCUUUUUAUGUCUUCACUUAAAAUGUUCUGUUAUAAACGACAGUAUUUAUAAAAACAUUUACAGCAGACAAGCACUUAGAGAUUUGUGAACUCAUUUACUGAGCAGUGUGUGCAUGCGAGAUAUUUCUGGACUAUACAAAGAUAAAUUAUCCCCAAACAUGGCGGAAUUCAUUUACAAAAGUAAGCGGAUCAAUUAAGGAGUCGUUUAUAAUGUAAGUGAGUCACUCCAAAAGCCAUUUAAGGAUUCAUUCACAAUUGAAUUACUUUUCUACUUACUUAAAGAGUCUUUUUCAAAUAUGACUGCACUGUUUGAGAAGUCAUUUACACAAGUGCGUCACUUGAAGAGGCAUUUACAAAUGCUGAUGUUUGACGUUAAUUCGGAUGGUGUUGGCGUUUGAUGUUAAUUCGGAUGGUGUUUGAUGUUAAUUCUGAUGGUGUUUGAUGUUAAUUCGGAUGGCGUUUGAUGUUAAUUCUGAUGGUGUUUGAUGUUAAUUCGGAUGGUGUUUGAUGUUAAUUCGGAUGGUGUUUGAUGUUAAUUCUGAUGGUGUUUGAUGUUAAUUCGGAUGGUGUUUGAUGUUAAUUCGGAUGGUGUAUGAUGUUAAUUCUGAUGAUGUGGUGUUUGACUUUAAUUUGGAUGUGUUGGUGUUUGCCGUUAAUUCAGAUGGUGUUUGAGGUUUAUUAGGUUGGUGUUGGCGUUUGGUGUUAAUUCCGAUGGUGUUUGCCGUUAAUUCGGAUGAUGUGGUGUUUGAGGUUAAUUUGGAUGGUGUUGGUGUUUCACGUUAAUUCCGAUGGUGUUUGAGGUUAAUUAAGAUGGUGAUGGUGUUUGAUGUUAAUUCGGAUGAUGUGGUGUAUAAUGUUAAUUUGGAUGGUGUUUGAGGUUAAUUCGGAUGAUGUGGUGUAUGAUGUUAAUUUGGAUGGUGUUUGAGGUUAAUUAGGAUGGUGUGGUGUAUAAUGUUAAUUUGGAUGGUGUUUGAGGUUAAUUAGGAUGGUGUUGGUGUUUGACGUUAAUUCCAAUGGGUGUUUCACGUUAAUUCCAAUGGUGUUGGUGUCUGAAACUGAAACAGCUUCACCUACAGAAAACGUCUCGUACAAGUGAGUCGACUCUCAGCGUGUGAACGACUCACCGAGCGACUCGUUCACAAACGACCCAUCACUAAUAUCCAGAUGUUUCCUCAUGCUCUCAGUCUGUCUGCGUGCUGGAAUAAUCUUUUACAUUCUUGGUAUUUACUCAGGCA
Molecule: long non-coding RNA, 2013 nt
Organism: Ictalurus punctatus (channel catfish)
Lineage: Eukaryota; Metazoa; Chordata; Actinopteri; Siluriformes; Ictaluridae
Source: Ensembl